CCCUUAGAUGUUCUGGGUCGCACGCGCGCUACACUGAUGCAUUCAACGAGUUUCUUCCUGGUCCGAGAGGAAUGGGUAACCUUUUGAAAGUGCAUCGUGAUAGGGAUAGACUAUUGCAAUUAUUGGUCUUCAACGAGGAAUUCCUAGUAGACGUAGUUCAUCAGACUGCAUCGAUUACGUCCCUGCCCUUUGUACACACCGCCCGUCGCUACUACCGAUUGAAUGGUUUAGUGAGAUCUUCGGAUUGGCGCCACUGCGGCUCAGCAAUGGGCUCGGUGGAUGCCGAAAAGUUGAUCAAACUUGAUCAUUUAGAGGAAGUAAAAGUCGUAACA
Molecule: ribosomal RNA, 332 nt
Filed under: uncultured eukaryote
Lineage: Eukaryota
Description: partial 18S ribosomal RNA
Rfam family: Eukaryotic small subunit ribosomal RNA
Source: RNAcentral